GAACAAGCUCGGUCAUUGAUGAAGUCCGGAGGAAGUUCGGAGUACAGUCGAUCGUGGCUGGGAGAUGUCUGGAAGAGAUUCGGAGAAUAGUCGAUCACUAUAGAGAAUCGACUGAAAGUGAAGCUCAGAGAGCAUUUGGAGCAGUCCAGUAGAUGAAUGGAGAAGCUCAUGAUUGGAGAAGUCCGGAUGGUAUUAUGGAAGCUCG
RNAcentral lists this long non-coding RNA (205 nucleotides) under Elaeis guineensis (African oil palm). Its description in RNAcentral is "long non-coding RNA (EGUI_LNC002069)". The record is from RNAcentral. Lineage: Eukaryota; Viridiplantae; Streptophyta; Magnoliopsida; Arecales; Arecaceae.